UCUCCGUUGGUGAACCAGCGGAGGGAUCAUUACAGGAUCGAAAGACUCCUAUAACCCCUGUGAACUUACUACAAAUACGUUGCUUCGGCGGGUGCCCCGGGUCUCCCGGGGCGUUCAGCCCGCCGGCAGCCUUCAAAUUCUGUUUCUUUGCGUUGGCAUCUCGAGUAUACAAAAAUAAGUUAAAACUUUCAACAACGGAUCUCUUGGCUCUC
Molecule: unclassified non-coding RNA, 212 nt
Filed under: plant metagenome
Description: partial contains small subunit ribosomal RNA, internal transcribed spacer 1, and 5.8S ribosomal RNA
Source: RNAcentral